Molecule: small nuclear RNA, 62 nt
Filed under: Otolemur garnettii (small-eared galago)
Lineage: Eukaryota; Metazoa; Chordata; Mammalia; Primates; Galagidae
Description: U7 small nuclear RNA
Rfam family: U7 small nuclear RNA
About the family: Animal histone pre-mRNAs are spliced by a different mechanism than nuclear pre-mRNAs and self-splicing introns.
Source: Rfam by way of RNAcentral
CAGUGUUACAGCUCUUCUAGAAUUUGUCUAGCAGGUUUUCUGGUCUCCGUUGUAAGACCCCA